UUUAAAUAUCGCUCGCCGUAUCGAAAAUCCUAACCCCAAAAUCCACACAGAGCGCAACCUCUCUUAUUUACGGCAGCAGGCAAAGAAGAAGAGGAAUUAGCGAACAAUCAUGGGUAAAAUACACAGAUCACUGUCCAUGCAGGGAAGGUGAGAGGUCAAACCCAAAAACUAGCCAAGCAAGAUAAGAAGAAGAAACCUAGAGGCUGUGCCCACAAGCGCAUGCAGUACAACCGCCGCUUUGUCACUGCCGGUCAGUCUCAAUCCCUUGCUUUUAUAUUUUUAAGCUAAACAAUUUUUAGUUAUGGGGGGUAAUUAGGGUUUUGUGAUCAAUUUGAGCCUUAUAUUAGAUUAUUUUUUUCUCUUAGCGCCCGCGGUUUAGGUUCUGGUUGUUUAAGGAAGUCAUAAGGGGUUGCUAAGGCUCCAUUUUUGUGAUUAGAACGUCUGGUUGUUUCAGGAAGUCAUGAGCUUUUUCUUAGGGUUUGAGGGGUUGGAAGAAGAGGUUGCUAAGGCUCCAUUUUUGUGAUUGGAACUUUGAUUUCUUAGAGUGCUGGUCCUGGAUGUUGGUUCAUUGAUGUUACAAUCACAUUUUUUCAGUCUUUAAAAAGCUAUCGCAAAUAAAUUUCAUAGCACAGAUAGAAAUGGUAUAGAAUAAGAGACAAGGAAGUGCGUCAUGAUAUGAAUCUACUUCAUUUUUCUAUUAAAUUGCCAGCUUCAGACGAAA
This is a long non-coding RNA of Populus nigra (black poplar), 721 nucleotides long. RefSeq lists it as uncharacterized. The transcript has 2 exons. The record is from RefSeq and is a predicted model, not a curated record. Lineage: Eukaryota; Viridiplantae; Streptophyta; Magnoliopsida; Malpighiales; Salicaceae.